CCUGGCUCAGGACGAACGCUGGCGGCGUGCCUAAUACAUGCAAGUCGAGCGGACCUCUUCGGAGGUUAGCGGCGGACGGGUGAGUAACACGUGGGCAACCUGCCUGUAAGACUGGGAUAACUCCGGGAAACCGGAGCUAAUACCGGAUAGUAUCUUGAACCGCAUGGUUCAAGCUGGAAAGACGGUUUCGGCUGUCACUUACAGAUGGGCCCGCGGCGCAUUAGCUAGUUGGUGAGGUAAUGGCUCACCAAGGCAACGAUGCGUAGCCGACCUGAGAGGGUGAUCGGCCACACUGGGACUGAGACACGGCCCAGACUCCUACGGGAGGCAGCAGUAGGGAAUCUUCCGCAAUGGACGAAAGUCUGACGGAGCAACGCCGCGUGAGUGAUGAAGGUUUUCGGAUCGUAAAACUCUGUUGUUAGGGAAGAACAAGUGCGAGAGUAACUGCUCGCACCUUGACGGUACCUAACCAGAAAGCCACGGCUAACUACGUGCCAGCAGCCGCGGUAAUACGUAGGUGGCAAGCGUUGUCCGGAAUUAUUGGGCGUAAAGCGCGCGCAGGCGG
RNAcentral lists this ribosomal RNA (565 nucleotides) under Bacillus sp. S6.CEL.007. Its description in RNAcentral is "bacterial SSU rRNA". It matches the Rfam family "Bacterial small subunit ribosomal RNA", at positions 18 to 578 of the family's 1533-position model. The record is from RNAcentral. Lineage: Bacteria; Bacillati; Bacillota; Bacilli; Caryophanales; Bacillaceae.